UGGUAAAAAAAGGACUUUAACCUUUGUCAUCGGAGCUACAAACCGCUGCCUAACUCAGCCAUUUUACC
Molecule: transfer RNA, 68 nt
Filed under: Pristimantis altamazonicus (Amazon robber frog)
Lineage: Eukaryota; Metazoa; Chordata; Amphibia; Anura; Strabomantidae
Description: tRNA-Tyr
Source: RNAcentral